CGUUUAGCCUUUGCAAGAAAAGGUUUGUGAAAUUGUGAACAUGUCAAAGGAACUUGAGAAUCUGACUAUGGAGGUUAGAGGAACGAGAAGCAUCGACAGUGGAACCGUGAAGAUUUGGCGAAGGCUGUGGCAGCAGUAUUUUUAUAAAACUAUCCAAUAAAGUUUUUUAAUUGCAA
Molecule: long non-coding RNA, 176 nt
Organism: Ooceraea biroi (clonal raider ant)
Lineage: Eukaryota; Metazoa; Arthropoda; Insecta; Hymenoptera; Formicidae
Source: RefSeq, a predicted model, not a curated record